GGGGGGGGGGGGGGGGGGGGGGGGGGGGGGGGGGGCGGGGGGGGGGGCGGGGGGGUUGCUCCUGGGGGGUGAGCGGCGGAGGGGUGGGUAGCGCGUGGAUAGCCUAGCUGUAAGGCUGGGAUAACUUCGGGAAGCCGGAGCUAAUACCGGAUACUAUAUUGACCCGCAUGGGUCAAGAGUGAAGGACGGUUUUGCUGUGCCUUCUACUUGUAUCCUCGCACCAUUAGUUGGUUGGUACGCUAACGGCUUACCAAGGCAACGAUUCUUCGCCGAUCUGAGAGGGUGAUCGGCCACACUGGAACUGAGACACGGUACAGACUCCUACGGGAGGCCGCAGUAGGGAAUCUUCCGAAAUGGGCGAAAGCCUGACGGAGCAACGCCGCGUGAGUGAUGAAGGUCUUCGGAUCGUAAAACUCUGUUAUUAGGGAAGAACGAAUGUGUAAGUAACUAUGCACGUCUUGACGGUACCUAAUCAGAAAGCCACGGCUAACUACGUG
This 497-nucleotide ribosomal RNA is filed under the name uncultured bacterium. Its description in RNAcentral is "partial 16S ribosomal RNA". It matches the Rfam family "Bacterial small subunit ribosomal RNA", at positions 38 to 507 of the family's 1533-position model. The record is from RNAcentral.